This 253-nucleotide ribosomal RNA is filed under the name uncultured bacterium. RNAcentral's name for it is "partial 16S ribosomal RNA". It matches the Rfam family "Bacterial small subunit ribosomal RNA", at positions 524 to 776 of the family's 1533-position model. The record is from RNAcentral.
UACAGAGGUCUCAAGCGUUGUUCGGAUUCAUUGGGCGUAAAGGGUGUGUAGGUGGCGCCGUAAGUCGGGUGUGAAAUUUCGGAGCUUAACUCCGAAACUGCAUUCGAUACUGCGGUGCUUGAGGACUGGAGAGGAGACUGGAAUUCAUGGUGUAGCAGUGAAAUGCGUAGAUAUCUGGAGGAACACCGGUGGCGAAGGCGGCAUCCUGGACCGACACUGACGCUGAGGAGCGAAAGCCAGGGGAGCAAACGGG